Molecule: ribosomal RNA, 253 nt
Filed under: uncultured bacterium
Lineage: Bacteria
Description: partial 16S ribosomal RNA
Rfam family: Bacterial small subunit ribosomal RNA
Source: RNAcentral
UACGUAGGGGGCAAGCGUUGUCCGGAAUUAUUGGGCGUAAAGAGCGUGUAGGCGGUCCGGUAAGUCAGCUGUGAAAGUCCAGGGCUCAACCCUGGGAUGCCGGUGGAUACUGUCGGGCUCGAGUCCGGAAGAGGCGAGUGGAAUUCCUGGUGUAGCGGUGAAAUGCGCAGAUAUCAGGAGGAACACCAAUGGCGAAGGCAGCUCGCUGGGACGUGACUGACGCUGAGACGCGAAAGCGUGGGGAGCAAACAGG